UACGAAGGGGGCGAGCGUUAUCCGGAAUUACUGGGCGUAAAGCGCACGCAGGCGGUUCGCCAAGUUUGGAGUGACAGUUGUCGGCUCAACCGACAAAGGACUUCAAAAACUGGUGAACUUGAGGACGAGAGAGGAACAUGGAACUCCAGGUGUAGUAGUGAAAUGCGUAGAUAUCUGGAAGAACACCAAUGGCGAAGGCAAUGUUCUGGCUCGUUUCUGACGCUCAGGUGCGAAAGCCAGGGGAGCGAACGGG
This 253-nucleotide ribosomal RNA is filed under the name uncultured bacterium. RNAcentral describes it as "partial 16S ribosomal RNA". It matches the Rfam family "Bacterial small subunit ribosomal RNA", at positions 524 to 776 of the family's 1533-position model. The record is from RNAcentral.